RNAcentral lists this ribosomal RNA (253 nucleotides) under uncultured bacterium. RNAcentral describes it as "partial 16S ribosomal RNA". It matches the Rfam family "Bacterial small subunit ribosomal RNA", at positions 524 to 776 of the family's 1533-position model. The record is from RNAcentral.
UACAGAGGGCUCAAGCGUUGUUCGGAUUCAUUGGGCGUAAAGGGCGCGUAGGCGGCGGGGUAAGUCGGGUGUGAAAUCUCAGAGCUCAACUCUGAAAUGGCACUUGAUACUGCUCUGCUAGAGGACUGGAGAGGAGAUUGGAAUUCACGGUGUAGCAGUGAAAUGCGUAGAUAUCGUGAGGAAGACCGGUGGCGAAGGCGGAUCUCUGGACAGUUCCUGACGCUGAGGCGCGAAGGCCAGGGGAGCAAACGGG